GACGAACGCUGGCGGCGUGCUUAACACAUGCAAGUCGAGCGGAAAGGCUCCUUCGGGGGUACUCGAGCGGCGAACGGGUGAGUAACACGUGAGUAAUCUGCCCUUGGCUUCGGGAUAGCCACCGGAAACGGUGAUUAAUACCGGAUACGACAACUUCUCGCAUGGGAUGGUUGUGGAAAGUUCGUUCGGCCAGGGAUGUGCUCGCGGCCUAUCAGCUUGAUGGUGAGGUAAUGGCUCACCAUGGCUUCGACGGGUAGCCGGCCUGAGAGGGUGACCGGUCACACUGGGACUGAGACACGGCCCAGACUCCUACGGGAGGCAGCAGUGGGGAAUAUUGGACAAUGGGCGGAAGCCUGAUCCAGCAACGCCGCGUGAGGGAUGACGGCCUUCGGGUUGUAAACCUCUUUCGGUAGGGACGAAGCGCAAGUGACGGUACCUACUAAAGAAGCACCAGCCAACUACGUGCCAGCAGCCGCCGUAA
RNAcentral lists this ribosomal RNA (481 nucleotides) under uncultured bacterium. RNAcentral's name for it is "partial 16S ribosomal RNA". It matches the Rfam family "Bacterial small subunit ribosomal RNA", at positions 28 to 523 of the family's 1533-position model. The record is from RNAcentral.